Gossypium raimondii (Peruvian cotton) is the source of this 669-nucleotide long non-coding RNA. RefSeq lists it as uncharacterized. The record is from RefSeq and is a predicted model, not a curated record. NCBI's taxonomy places the organism in Eukaryota, Viridiplantae, Streptophyta, Magnoliopsida, Malvales, Malvaceae. The transcript has 3 exons.
CCACCCCGUCAGCUCAGUGUGUAAAAAUUUGAAAACCCAGGCUCUAGGGCUUAUCAGGAAGAUCGUGCCUCCAAAUUUUCCGGUCUCAGCAAGUGAAAUGGCCAAGGAAAUGGAACCUUUGAACCCUUGGUUUCUGGAUUUGGUACCAAUGUUGGUUGUUAUCAUUAUAGCUGCUCAUGUCUUCGCUUUGGUUUACUGGAUUUUCAGACUAGCUACUGACAAUCAACCCGAAAGACGAAAGACGCACUAAAAAUCUUCACUUUAUGACAUUAGAACACAGGGAGUUGUGGGACAGGGAAAGAAGUUGCGAAUUCUUUUAAACUGCUCUCGGUGGGUUAUAUCUACCAUAUAUACAUGGCACUUGCAUUUGAAGAGGGUAAGAAGAUAUAAGGAAUGAAGCUUUCAUCAUCUUAAUUGGGUCCAUUCCAUGGAUACAAUCAUCAUAGAAAUCUGUGUUCAUUGUCAGGUUACAGUUUGUGAACCUGUCAUGUAACCGCUGCUUUACUCAACAUUAUAUUUGUUGCAUAUUCCAUGUUUGUGCAUUGUUGUUCCAGAUGUUUUUAGAAUUUGCCUUUGCGCUUUUACCCUCAUCAGUCGGAUAGAUUUCCUGCCUUUCUUGCUUUACUGUUUUGGAAUACUAUCUUUUUUAACAUCUUUUUUGUUUCCUUA